Molecule: non-coding RNA, 309 nt
Organism: Vicia faba (fava bean)
Lineage: Eukaryota; Viridiplantae; Streptophyta; Magnoliopsida; Fabales; Fabaceae
Source: the annotation of a GenBank genome assembly
AUGAAAUCAUCAACCUUUGCUUCAAUCUAUACGCAUGAAAUCAUCAACAACCGCGUCAAAUUUCAAUCCUCAUUAAUCUUCAAAUCACACGCAACUUCCACAUACUUCUCAUUCUCUGCGUUUGCGCAUCAAAAAUUCACAACAACAUCAACACCACGAGCACACAGAAGUGGACAAGAGAAGAAAGAGGAUUCAAGGAAGAAAGAAGAAAGCAUAAUAGAAAGGGCGAAAAACUCAUAUGUGAUCCAGAUUCUUGUGGCUUUUCUUCUUUGUUCAGAUUCAAGAGGAUACCAGAUGAAUCGAAAGUAA